Molecule: long non-coding RNA, 397 nt
Organism: Xenopus laevis (African clawed frog)
Lineage: Eukaryota; Metazoa; Chordata; Amphibia; Anura; Pipidae
Exons: 3
Source: RefSeq, a predicted model, not a curated record
UGUCCUCCAGGCGGCUCCGCACCACCUUCACGAUCUGACUGGGCUUCAUCUCCAGGGUCGGGAAGUUGCCGCGGCCGUGGAUGGGAAUAGUUUCGGUUGCUAAUAUAAAUUGCGGUGAGAGCUUGUCGGAGGGCUUGGACUGGAUAGGGAUGUUUGAGAUAACCUACCUGAUUUUUGAUGCAUCAAGGAUUUCACGAUCUUGGACUGACAAUUUUGUUUAGGACCUUGUGUUCAUCCUUCAACCAUUUUAAGUUUUUGUAUAUAUAUGUAGUGCGUGUUUGUUUCUUUGCUAUGUAUGCUUAUACUAUCCCAGAUUUGUUGCCGUAUCUAUAAUACUGGUUUGCUGUAUGGCUUAGCAUAUUGUAAGCUUUUCCAGUCAAUAAAGUAUCAAAAAGUG